RNAcentral lists this long non-coding RNA (1089 nucleotides) under Hordeum vulgare. Its description in RNAcentral is "long non-coding RNA (HVUL_LNC011363)". The record is from RNAcentral. Lineage: Eukaryota; Viridiplantae; Streptophyta; Magnoliopsida; Poales; Poaceae.
UUUCCCGUAGGGUUCUAUCAGAAUUUCUGGGAAGUAAUGAAACCGGCCCUCAUGGAUCUCUUUGGCAACUUAGAUGCUGGCCAACUAGAUUUAUUCCGCUUAAACUUCGGCGAGAUUAUAUUAUUACCUAAGGUUAAUGAGGCUGAAACGAUACAAUAAUAUAUAUCUAUAUGCCUCCUUAAUGAUAGUUUUAAAAUCUUCACGAAGGUCGCGACUAUUAGGCUCAAUGCUUGCUGAACAUGUGGUUCGUCCCUCGCAUACUGCUUUUAUGCAAGGCCGAAAGAUCCUAGAUGGAGUUGUCAUCCUUCAUGAAAUAGUCCAUGAAUUACACCGGAAAAAGUUGAAUGGGGUGGUUCUUAAAAUCGACUUUGAAAAAUCUCACGACAAAUUCAAGUGGUCUUUUCUUCAACAGACUUUCAAAAUGAAAGGUUUUUCUGCAGAGUGGCAUGCUAUGAUCCAUAGCUUCGUUUCUGGAGGUAGUGUAUCCAUUAAAGUCAAUGAUGACGUUGGCAAGUACUUCCAGACAAAGAAAGGCUCAAGACAAGGUGACGCAAUAUCGCCCAUGCUAUUCAAUAUAGUGACGGAUAUGUUAGUUGUCAUGAUUAAACGUGCCAAGGUUGAUGGCCAAAUUGAUGGAGUAGUGAAUCACCUUGUAGAUGGUGGUCUCUCUAUCCUCCAAUAUGCUGAUGAUACAAUUCUCUUCAUGGAUCAUGACCUAGAGAAGGCAAGAAACCUGAAAUUAAUUUUACCAGCUUUUGAGAAAUUCUCGGGUCUUAAGAUAAACUUCCAUAAAAGUGAGUUAUUUUAUUUUGGCGAGGCUCAAGAUGAGGCUCACCUGUAUGCUGACUUGUUUGGCUAUGGGUUGGGCCAGUUUCCGAUCACAUAUUUGGGAAUAUCGAUACACUAUCAGAGACUCAGAAAUGUUGAAUGGAAACAUGUCGAGGAGAGACUACAAAAAAGACAAAACAGCUGGAAAGGUAAACUGAUAUCUCUAGGCGAUUGGUCCUCAUAAAUUCUGUACUAAGCAACAUGGUAUUAUAUAUGAUUUCCUUCUUCCAACUGCCUGAAGGAGUUCUACAUAGAUUGGNN